This 253-nucleotide ribosomal RNA is filed under the name uncultured bacterium. RNAcentral's name for it is "partial 16S ribosomal RNA". It matches the Rfam family "Bacterial small subunit ribosomal RNA", at positions 524 to 776 of the family's 1533-position model. The record is from RNAcentral.
UACGUAGGGGGCAAGCGCUGUCCGGAGUUACUGGGCGUAAAGCGCACGCAGGCGGUCUCUUAAGUUUGGAGUGACAGUUGGUGGCUUAACUGCCAAAGUGCUUCGAAAACUGAGAGACUUGAGGGCUUCAGAGGGACACGGAAUUCCGGGUGGAGUGGUGAAAUGCGGUAGGAGAUCCGGAGGAACACCAAAGGCGAAGGCAGUGUCCUGGGGAGUACCUGACGCUCAGGUGCGAAGCCGGGAGGCGAACGGG